Molecule: ribosomal RNA, 497 nt
Filed under: uncultured bacterium
Lineage: Bacteria
Description: partial 16S ribosomal RNA
Rfam family: Bacterial small subunit ribosomal RNA
Source: RNAcentral
GAUGAACGCUGGCGGCGUGCCUAACACAUGCAAGUCGAGCGAACAGACGUGGCGCUUGCUGCUGUGACGUUAGCACCGGACGGGGGAGUCACACGUGGAUAACCUCCCUAUAAGACUGGGACAACUUCGGGAAAUCGGCGCUAACACCGGAUAAUAUAUUGAACUGCAUGGUUCAUUAGUGCAAGACGGUUUUGCUGUCACUUAUAGACUGAUACGCGCCGCAUCAGCUAGUUGUCGAGGGAAUCGGUUACCCAGGCAACGACGCGUAGACGACCCGAAGGGGGGAACGGCCACACGGGAAGUGAGACAGGGUCCAGACUCCUGCGGUGAGCAGCAGCAGGGAAUCUUCCGCAAUGGAGGAGAGCCUAACGGAGCAACGCCGCGUGAGGGAUGAUGGUGUUCGGAUGGGAGAACGCUGUUAUUAGUGAGGAACAAAUGUGUAAUUAACGGUGCACAUCAUGACGGUACCUGAAGAGGAAGCCACGGCUAACUACGUG